This 1943-nucleotide long non-coding RNA is filed under the name Haliotis rubra (blacklip abalone). RNAcentral describes it as "uncharacterized LOC124272518". Lineage: Eukaryota; Metazoa; Mollusca; Gastropoda; Lepetellida; Haliotidae. The record is from RNAcentral.
CUAGUGUUUACCAUUCGUUCCAUGGUUUUACAGACACAACUCGUUAAAAAGUUAAGGAUAAUCCAAUUCUUUCAUAUCACUGUAAUUAGUCUGUCAAAGCCUGACAGAUUCACUUUAGAAAAAUGAAAGACUGCAUACCAUACCAGAUUAACUAUAGAGGUAUGGAAGUAAAUAUGAAGCAAAUAAAGACUGCAUGUCAUGAUAAAUUACAUUGUAACUAUAGAACUAUGAAAGACUAUAUAUAAAGAAAGCAUGCCAUGACAUGAAUAACAAUAGCAAUAUGAAUGCAUCGAGUGACCCUAAUCGUUUUUCUGUCGUUUGGAAUUCCUUGUUACAUGUUGACUAUGUUGAAAUAAUUUUUUCAUUUUUAUUUUUUUUCUCUCAACAUGAUGGAACAGAUGGAACAAAUUCAUAGCACCAUUUACGUUAUUACCUUCUGGACAUAUAAAGUGAAUGUAUUGUUUUCAAAAUAUAUGUCUUACAGUGUAUCGUAUAACAUCAUAUUUUACCGUGUUCCUGUUAUUUAUAGGUGGAUAUUCCUUUGUCAUUGCUAUGCACCUAUUUCAUUUAGACGACCUAGUAAUGUUGGUAUGUCGUCUUUGACUGACAGACAGACAGACAGACAGAUAGACAGGUGUAUUUAUAGGUGGACAUACCUUUGUCCUUUCUAUUGCACCUAUUUCAUUUAGACGACCUAGUAAUGUUGGUAUGUCGUUUUUGACUGACAGACAGACAGGUGUAUUUAUAGGUGGAUAUACCUUUGUUAUUGCUAUUGCAUCUAUUUAAUUCCGACGACCUUGUUAUGUUGGUAUGUCGUCUUUGACAGACAGACAGGUGUAGACGUGUAUGUGAUCCAAAGGUCAAAGGUACAACACGUGCAAAAGGAUUUUGUGUAUAUGUACAUUAAAGGGUAAAUUGUACCUUGACAGUGAAGUGUAAAUAAGUGAAGAAACCAACGUAUGUGGAGAAAAACGUGUAAAUUAUGCAGAUGCUUUUUUGCCCUUACGCAAAAUAUUUGCUAUUGCACCACUCAAUUGCUGUGUAUAAUAACAACUACAUUCAUUGCAUCACUCAAUGGCAAUUUGAUUCAUUACAUUACUUCACUGCUGUCUAUAAUAGCACAUUUAAGUCACUCAACUGCUGUCUAAUAUAAUAGAAAUUUGAUUCAUUGCACCAUUUCACUGCUGUCUAUAAUAGUACAUUUAGUGUUGCAUCUUUCCACUGCUGUCUGUAAUAGCAAUUUUAGUUAAUGAAUCACUCCAUUGCUGUAUACAAUAGCAAUUUUAGUAAUUACAUCACUCCAUUGCUGUAUACAAUAGAAAUUUUAGUCAAUAUAUCACUCCAUUGCUGUCUGUAAUAGCAAUUUUAAUCAUUGCAUCACUCCAUUGCUGUAUAUAAUAGCAAUUUUAGUUAAUGCAUCACUCCAUUGCUGUAUACAAUAGCAAUUUUAAAAAUGCAUCACUCCAUUGCUGUCUGUAAUAGCAAUUUUAGUCAAUGCAUCACUCCAUUGCUGUAUAUAAUAGUACAUUUAGUGUUGCAUCUUUCCACUGCUGUCUGUAAUAGCAAUUUUACUUAAUACAUCACUCCAUUGCUGUCUGUAAUAGCAAUUUUAGUCAAUGCAUCACUCCAUUGCUGUAUAUAAUAGUACAUUUAGUGUUGCAUCUUUCCACUGCUGUCUGUAAUAGCAAUUUUACUUAAUACAUCACUCCAUUGCUGUCUGUAGUAGCAAUUUUUGUCAUUGCAUCAGUCCAUUGCUGUCUGUAACAGCAAUGUUAGUCAUUGCUUCAUCCCGUUGCUGUCUCUAAAAGCUAUAACAUUCAUUGCAUCACUCCACUGCUGUGUAUAAUAGCAAUUUAAGUAAUUGCAUCACUCAAUUGCUGUUUAUAAUAGCAAUAUGAUUCAUUGCAUCACACCACUGCUGUUACUGGAAUCCAUGCAGGUAG